RNAcentral lists this ribosomal RNA (459 nucleotides) under uncultured bacterium. RNAcentral describes it as "partial 16S ribosomal RNA". It matches the Rfam family "Bacterial small subunit ribosomal RNA", at positions 338 to 795 of the family's 1533-position model. The record is from RNAcentral.
CCUACGUGUGGCAGCAGUGAGGAAUAUUGGUCAAUGGGCGCGAGCCUGAACCAGCCAAGUAGCGUGAAGGAUGACUGCCCUACGGGUUGUAAACUUCUUUUAUAAAGGAAUAAAGUGAGGCACGUGUGCCUUUUGUAUGUACUUUAUGAAUAAGGAUCGGCUAACUCCGUGCCAGCAGCCGCGGUAAUACGGAGGAUUCGAGCGUUAUCCGGAUUUAUUGGUUUUAAAGGGAGCGUAGAUGGGUUGUUAAGUCAGUUGUGAAAGUUUGCGGCUCAACCGUAAAAUUGCAAUUGAUACUGGCAGUCUAGAGUGCAGGUGAGGUAGGCGGAAUUCGUGGUGUAGCGGUGAAAUGCUUAGAUAUCACGAAGAACUCCGAUUGCGAAGGCAGCUUACUGGCCUGCCACUGACAUUGAUGCUCGAAAGUGUGGGUAUCAAACAGGAUUAGAUACCCGAGUAGUC